Molecule: long non-coding RNA, 239 nt
Organism: Bufo bufo (common toad)
Lineage: Eukaryota; Metazoa; Chordata; Amphibia; Anura; Bufonidae
Exons: 2
Source: RefSeq, a predicted model, not a curated record
GUUACCUAACUGUUUUGCCUGACAUCUGAAUGGUAGCAGCUAGAAGCAUGGAACUGGUCCUGUUUGAAAGAAUUCCAGGCUUUCAUACAAGACCAAAUUUACAGCAUUAGUCCAAGCAACAGAGGAGAUAUCGCUAAAUGUGGCAUCAAUGUAAAGACCCACAAAAUAAAGUGUGGUUAUUUUUAGCACACAGUGGAAUAAACUCCACAAAAUUCAUGUUUUUUUUCAAUCUUUCCCCC